This 984-nucleotide long non-coding RNA is filed under the name Polistes fuscatus (common paper wasp). RNAcentral's name for it is "uncharacterized LOC122515928". The record is from RNAcentral. Lineage: Eukaryota; Metazoa; Arthropoda; Insecta; Hymenoptera; Vespidae.
UCUUCGCAUUUUGUCUCCUUCUCGGAAAAAGAAUAAUUUGCUAACCGUCGAUAAUACGUUAAUAAUUACAUAAUGACCGCAUGUAACGAGAAUAUAGAAUCGAUUUAAAUCUAACGUUGAAAAUAAUUGCUAGAGCUUGAUUACAAAAAUUUGAAUUAGUAUGAUCUAAUAAGAUAAAGAGAUUAUUUAUCUUUUCUUCUUACAAUAUCUACAGAUAGUUAUUAAAAUCCUAAUUGAAAAAUGAGUUAGUUUGAAUUGAUCAUUUUUUCAUUUCAAAAAAGAAAAUCAAAUCAUAAUCUACUCUAAUCUUCUCUAUCAUAAGCGAUAAGGUAAGAACAAAGAUGCGUGCACACACAUGCCAUGGGCAAAAGUUUUUUGUCACGACUCGAUCGACCGACCCCGAUCUCUAAGGAAAGAUUUGAGGACAAGAUAAAAUCAACAAUUCCUAGUAUAUUUGAUAUUACUUCAUUUUAGAUUCGACGAUUGGAUAAACAUCUAACACUAAACAUAAGAACACAAAUUAAACGAUAGCUUAUUAAAUGCUGAUAAUAAUUUUGCGUGUUCAAGAUUUAUUUAUAUGCUAUAAGGAAAUAUUUCUCCUUUGUUAAAAUAAUAAAAAUUAAGAUCAAAAUUGGAAGAUAGGAGAGAGAAAACAAUAGAAGAGAAUUUUUGAAACUUCAUAUAAUAUGUACUAUGUGCGUAUGUAGAGGAUGUUCCUCAAUCGAUUAGCGCGUAAAGUGUGCACAGUAUCGUACAGCCAACGAACGGCAUACUCGCAUGGUGGUAAUAAACGAGUAACCUAUAUUCGUCCUUACGUAAAAAAGCCAAAAGGGUCAUUGUAUGUCGAUCAUCGAAAUAUCAUCGAAAUAUCAUCGAAAUAUCAUCGAAAUAUCAUCGAAAUAUCUUCGAAAUUGCGAUCGCGAUCGUAGGAUAUGCAUUUAGUUGGCACAUUUGACGUCUAUUAGAGUAACGAUCGGUACCAAA